UCAAUGUUUAAGUCCUUAUCAGGGUCAGAAAUGAUGAUAGCCAUUAGAUCUCACCUCGGAUGGAAUCUGCGCCAUUGAUCAGCAUCCUAAAUUUUUUAUUCAAAGUCAGGAAUGAUGCCAGCCAUUAGAUCGAGCGAUGGAUCGAGUUUCGACCAUCCGAUUGCACCCAGAAAUCCUUCUUUUCAAUCGGUAAUGAAUGUGGACCGUCUGAUCUCCCUCAAAAUUGAUAUCAACCGUC
This 238-nucleotide long non-coding RNA is filed under the name Elaeis guineensis (African oil palm). RNAcentral describes it as "long non-coding RNA (EGUI_LNC008914)". Lineage: Eukaryota; Viridiplantae; Streptophyta; Magnoliopsida; Arecales; Arecaceae. The record is from RNAcentral.